This 329-nucleotide unclassified non-coding RNA is filed under the name soil metagenome. RNAcentral describes it as "partial contains 5.8S ribosomal RNA, internal transcribed spacer 2, and large subunit ribosomal RNA". The stretch from base 1 to 120 matches the Rfam family "5.8S ribosomal RNA", at positions 35 to 154 of the family's 154-position model. The record is from RNAcentral.
GAUGAAGAACGUAGCGAAAUGCGAUAAGUAGUGUGAAUUGCAGAAUUCCGUGAAUCAUCGAAUCUUUGAACGCACAUUGCGCCCUUUGGUAUUCCGAGGGGCAUGCCUGUUCGAGCGUCAUUAUAACCCCUCAAGCUCAGCUUGGUGUUGGGGCCUGCUGCACUGGCAGCCCUUAAAAUCAGUGGCGGCGCCAUCUGGCUCUAAGCGUAGUAAUUCUUCUCGCUAUGGAGUCCUGGUGGAUGCUUGCCAUCAACCCCCAAUUUUUCUAUGGUUGACCUCGGAUCAGGUAGGGAUACCCGCUGAACUUAAGCAUAUCAAUAAGCGGAGGA